GAUUUAUUUGCCCAAAAAGCAAAGCGUUGGCCGAGCGGCGGGUGCCAUUCGCGCGCCGACGACCCCACAAGCCGCAAUGGCCAAAAGGGCCUACUACUACUACUACUACACCAUACGCCGGACCAACCCUCAAACCGGCCACUCAUUCGCGGGAGGCAAUACCUACAGUCGGUGAACUCUCAAAGGGGCCAAAACAAAGUCGUAAAAAGUCAAAUAGAUGUCCCAAAAGUGUCUACAGCCUGUCGUUUUGCCCGCUUGAAAAUUGUAGACAAAUGGACAUGGGACAUGUCGUCUGCUGUCGGCGCUUUAGCGCAUUCCCAAGCAGGCGAAAUAGCAGGCUGUAGACACUUUUGGGACGCUUUAUUGAUUUUUUAUGACUUUGUUUUGCCCCCUUUGAGAGUUCACCGACUGUACGGCGCUCUCGGAGAUGCCGCAGCACAAGCAGCGCGCACCGCCAGCCACGGCUACUCGUGCAACGUCUUUCGCAACAAAAAACGGCCGGCGCGUGUUGUGCGUCCAAUUCCAAGCCUCUUGAAAAAAAAAGGACGGGCGUAUAGGUGAAGAGAGAGAACUGGCGCGUCGUGCGCCGACUGUGGCCUUUCUGUCGGCAACGGAAAGGGCCGACGGCCUCCGCCCCCUCAACGCCCAAUAAACAAACUUGUGCCUCGUAAAAAAACAAACAAAAAAAAGAGAGGGUUGCAAUGUGCGCGUCAAAACUCGGUCAAGGGCGAAAGGGGGUCGGCGGCUGCAGGCCUCUUUUCUCUUCUUUUUUGUUGGCAUUC
This 782-nucleotide long non-coding RNA is filed under the name Pandoravirus salinus. Its description in RNAcentral is "putative ncRNA". The record is from RNAcentral.